GGGGAAUAUUGCACAAUGGGCGCAAGCCUGAUGCAGCCAUGCCGCGUGUGUGAAGAAGGCCUUCGGGUUGUAAAGCACUUUCAGCGAGGAGGAAGGGUUCAGUGUUAAUAGCACUGUUCAUUGACGUUACUCGCAGAAGAAGCACCGGCUAACUCCGUGCCAGCAGCCGCGGUAAUACGGAGGGUGCAAGCGUUAAUCGGAAUUACUGGGCGUAAAGCGCACGCAGGCGGUUUGUUAAGUCAGAUGUGAAAUCCCCGCGCUAACGUGGGAACUGCAUUUG
Molecule: ribosomal RNA, 280 nt
Filed under: uncultured bacterium
Lineage: Bacteria
Description: partial 16S ribosomal RNA
Rfam family: Bacterial small subunit ribosomal RNA
Source: RNAcentral